Molecule: long non-coding RNA, 626 nt
Organism: Neltuma alba
Lineage: Eukaryota; Viridiplantae; Streptophyta; Magnoliopsida; Fabales; Fabaceae
Exons: 3
Source: RefSeq, a predicted model, not a curated record
AUCAUUACUUUAGUUGAUAAUUAAAGGGAUAAUUAUAUAUAAACAACUGAAUUUAUAAACCAGAUAUUAAGAAUAAUCCCCAUCAAUACUGACAAGACAAGAUAUUUAGUUCCUGUCUUUGAACAUUUUUAUUGACAAAUAUUAAGAAUUAACUAAUGUUUCAAUAAUUUUUGAAUAACAACUUAUAAAAUAAUACAUUGUUAAAAAAACAUACAACGAAAUAAGAAGAUAAACUUUCAAUAUUUUCUCCCUUCAAGAUUAGAUGCUUUUCCGAAAGAGAGAGGGGCGAGGGGACCUCGAAUUUGAAAGAGAGAAUCUAUCUAUCUCUUACGCGUAGUGGUAAAUGAAUAUGGAAACUUUUCCAUGCUGCUUACUGAAAUUUAUAGGCAUUUGUGGUCGCCAAAUUUACACCAAUCUCUGUAGCCACCCAUUGAUUCUUCAAAACUAUCACACACAAAAACAAUUCAAAGAGAAAAAAAAUAGAACCUCCUACUUAAUAGCAUCUUGCUCUCGACUUUUUUAGAUCAAGCUAUUCUCGUGACCCUUUUAUUUUUUUCGCCCCUUUUGUCUCCUCCUCUCAACAAUCUUUGCUGUCUUUGCUCUCUUUUUAAUUUACUAAGAUACGA